RNAcentral lists this long non-coding RNA (364 nucleotides) under Amphimedon queenslandica. Its description in RNAcentral is "uncharacterized LOC109587096, transcript variant X2". The record is from RNAcentral. Lineage: Eukaryota; Metazoa; Porifera; Demospongiae; Haplosclerida; Niphatidae.
GUGAAAUCAAUAAUAUUCCAUACAUAUAUUCAACUGUUAACAAGAAUACUGAUGUAACUCAAAUUCAGAGUCAUUAUGCUGAUCUGGCAAUAGACACUAAUAGACGUCAUUAUGCUCCACCCACCCAUCAACCAUCAGUAUUGUACUCAUCAAUAAAACCAGUUAAUAAUAAGAGGAAAUGAGACAUACAUCAUACAAAGGAAUAGCUGCUAUGAAGUGACUAUAUUGUUAUUAUAUUGCACUGAUAUGAAUAUAGUAUUAUUUAUGAUUAUUGAUGUGUUAGUGUGUAACUGGUUUAAACUGUCAUUUAUUUGUAUUAACUUGUUCACAUAGUUAUUAUCCAAUAGAAUAUAAUAGAAUGACA